This is an RNA transcript of Wyeomyia smithii (pitcher-plant mosquito), 3720 nucleotides long. RefSeq lists it as uncharacterized. Lineage: Eukaryota; Metazoa; Arthropoda; Insecta; Diptera; Culicidae. The record is from RefSeq and is a predicted model, not a curated record. The transcript is spliced from 2 exons.
UAGAGACAUAUGCAGUGAGUACAGUUUGUUAAGAAACAGUCGAAUUUAAAUUUAAGAAAAUCUAUUUUUACACAUAGCCAAAUUAAGACGCCAUUUGCAAUACACACCAGACAACCUAUGUUGGACACCAACACACUGAACAAUAAAACGAUAAUCUUUUCUGUAAGUACAAACACAUACAAAAAACUCAAAACAGUAACAGAAAAAGGAAAACUACACGUGAUGUAUAUUUUUAGACUCCUUGAAAAAGGUGAAAUAAAGUCACCGAAACUGUCGGAUUAAGAAACAAAAAAUCGUUUUUGCUUCUAUACACGGACUGAUUAAGCCGAUAAAUCUACAAAAUUAACCGCUACAGUCGACAAACAAACAAGUUCAUAACCAUGGCCACCGUUUUAAAAGUCCCUUUCUAUCAGAACGUAGAGCACAGGUACGGCAUACACGCGAAAAACAUGCUGAAGGAUUACGCAAAUACGAUCUCCAAACUGGGCAGCAUGUUAAGCCGAAAGUCUUUCCUCAUUCGCUGUCGAAAAACUGGCGUGUUCCCAGCACACAUCACAACGAAUUUUCGUUUUGUUUUCCCGUUACUGGAAGAUAACAGUCCAUUCACAAAAAAGCUGGAAAAAUGUAUAAACAAGUUCAAGAAAUCAGUUCUAAACAUAGAAAUCAAACACACUUUUCACAAACUGAAAAUACUAAAACAAUUACAAUAUACACUUACGGAAAAGAUAAAUAACUCAAAUAUACCAAAAAACGUAGCCGAAUCAUUCUUCAACAGUCAAACAAAGUUUGAAAACAAACAUACGCAGGAGAAAUCAAAAAACACAAAGAGAAAAUUUGACCGAAUUCUAGACCGUAAUAUCCAACCAUCGAGCACAAUACCUGUAUGUAAAAGCAAUGCCAUACAUAACAGCACUCAAAAAUCACUUCCAAAAGAAACAGAAAUACUGCUCAGUUUAGGCCAAAAAUUCGCACUACCAACCAACAUCACCCACAUACCUUUUUAUCAUCUCCUAGCCGACAUCGAAAGCAUACUUAAAACUAAUCCAGACGUUUCAAUCCAAGACCGCACAAGAUGCGCAAUAGCAAACUCAGUUCAAAAUUACAUCCACUACAAUAAAAACAACACAGAAAAAGGUGAGCUGACAAAAUUCUGUGAAAAAGCUAUAAAAACUACAAAACAAUUCUUUCGAGAAAAUCCAGAUGUACUCACGAUUCAAUCGGACAAAGGCAAUAAAACGGUCAUAAUGCUUGCAGAAGACUAUAAACAGAAAAUGCUCAGCAUGCUCAACGACAACAAAACAUAUCUUCCGAUACCACGCGAUCCAACAUCACGAUACCAACGAACAAAUAACGAAUUCGCCAAACGACUACUCAACCUGAAUCUUAUCGACAAACAGACAGCAACACGACUAACUACAUAUAAUGCCAUAUGCCCCAGAAUAUACGGACAACCCAAAGCGCAUAAACCUAAUGUACCACUAAGGCCAGUAGUGCCAAACAUGACCGCUCCCGCCUACAACCUGUCGAAAUUCAUCGGAAAAAUCAUACAAAAUUCCAUUGAUAGUCCAUACAACAUAAAAGAUUCGUUCACGUUCUGCAACUUUAUCUGCUCAGUUACACUGCCACCAGACUAUAUUCUAAUUUCUCUAGACGUCAUAUCGCUGUUCACAUCAAUUCCUAAAGCCCUAGUCACACACCACAUAAUAACACAAUGGGAGAAGAUCAAAGUUAAUACAAACAUAAACCUAGAUUUGUUCAUCGAAAUAGCUGAAUUUUGUAUCGAAUCAAGCUACUUCAAGUACAACGAACAACAUUUCCAACAAGUGUUUGGAGCUGCAAUGGGGAAUCCUCUCUCGCCCAUAAUAGCAGACUUAGUUAUGGAAACACUACUAGACACAGUAACACAGUCAUUAAAUUUCAAACCUCCGUUCAUCAAAAAAUAUGUAGACGAUCUCCUACUAGCAAUUCCUGAAAGUCAAAUAGGCCAUGUACUAGAAACAUUCAACAGCUAUAAUGAACAUAUUCAAUUUACAUAUGAAAUGGAAAACAACAAACGACUACCGUUCCUAGACAUGACACUGAUAAGACAGGAAAACCAAAAAAUUCAAACAGAAUGGUAUAUGAAACCGAUAUCCAGUGGCAGGUUCUUGGAUUAUAACUCGUUCCACCCGCUCCAUCAAAAAAUAAACAUGGCCAAAAAUUUUAUUCGACGAGUCGACAAACUAUCCACUCAUUUACAAGACGCCGACAAAGCCCGUAUCAUCCAUCAACAAUUGAGUCUCAACAACUACCCAAAAUCGCUCAGGAACAGACUCAUAAACCGCAGGCAAGAAAACAUUAUUACACUACAAGAAUCAUCCGAUGAAAACCUGAAAUAUACUUACCGUUCAAUACCAUACAUUCCAUACCUGUCGAACCGAAUCGACAAACACCUGAAAAACGAAUACAAAAACAUACGACUAGCACACCGCAACAUAAAAACAGUUGGACAAUUACUCCCAAAAGUUAAAGACCCCGUCCCCCAGGAGCACCAAAACAACGUCAUAUACAAGAUACCAUGCAAAAACUGCGACGCCUGCUACGUCGGAAUGACAACAAACAUGCUUAAAACAAGAAUCAGCGGACACCGAACGUACUACAACACUUGGGACAAACUACUACAGCAAGGCUACAACGCAACAGAUCCACAAAUUAGUUCACUAAAAGAAAAAACAGCACUAAUGUACCACAGCAUCACACAAAAUCACAGAUUCGAUUUUCACCAAACGAAAAUUAUAGACAGACACGACAAACCACACGCUCUACCGUUUAUAGAAGUAUGCCAUAUUGCCAACACAGAAAAUAGUAUCAACAAACGCACAGACACUGAGGGACUCAACACUGUAUAUGCUGGUAUUAUACACACAAUAAGAAAUAUCAAUCACAACAAAACCGAUAAACACAACAACCAAUAUGCAACCACAACCUAAAGUUUUUAGCGUAGCUCUCCAACACACUCACAACAAACUGUCAAGAAAUAGUAGACUACUGAAAAAGACACAAAACCUAUUGCUCUGAUUAAUUAAAUACCGCUCGAAGUUAUAUAGUGCUAGAAAAAGCAGUGCUAGAAAAAAGUGAUAACUGUUAUACAGUAUAGUGCACACAAAAAUAGAGACAUAUGCAGUGAGUACAGUUUGUUAAGAAACAGUCGAAUUUAAAUUUAAGAAAAUCUAUUUUUACACAUAGCCAAAUUAAGACGCCAUUUGCAAUACACACCAGACAACCUAUGUUGGACACCAACACACUGAACAAUAAAACGAUAAUCUUUUCUAUCAAAUGUAAAGAUUCACAAUAGUAAACCUCAAAUUCCGAUGAAGGAUGUGAUGUUCACUCUGCACGGAGAGAUGGUGACACCAGAUCUUGGAACUUGCACAUCAAUCCAGCCGAAAAACUCCAUUGAAAACUUUCAAUCGAUAACGUCGAGCGGAACAGCCGGCAGUUCGUGUGUACGAGCAAGAACAAAAACUUUUCGUUAAAAGCAAAAAGUUAUCUACAUCAUGCAAAUACCUGGGGUAGAAGAUAUACGGUAUGCAUGAAGCUGUAGUUACUCAACCGGAUACAAUGGAACGAAAGUGAAAGUCAGCCCCAAACCGGAGUGAUAUCCGUUUGAAGUGUUUUGUAGAAAUGUACUUUCUAUUUGCUCCAGUGUGCUUUUCUGGUUUUAGAUAAUGGCAGGCUAUU